This 817-nucleotide ribosomal RNA is filed under the name Galerina patagonica. RNAcentral's name for it is "partial large subunit ribosomal RNA". The record is from RNAcentral. Lineage: Eukaryota; Fungi; Basidiomycota; Agaricomycetes; Agaricales; Galerinaceae.
AAGUGUUAUCCGCGCUGGACCGUGUACAAGUCUCCUGGAAUGGAGCGUCAUAGAGGGUGAGAAUCCCGUCUUUGACACGGACUACCAGGGCUUUGUGAUGCGCUCUCAAAGAGUCGAGUUGUUUGGGAAUGCAGCUCAAAAUGGGUGGUAAAUUCCAUCUAAAGCUAAAUAUUGGCGAGAGACCGAUAGCGAACAAGUACCGUGAGGGAAAGAUGAAAAGAACUUUGGAAAGAGAGUUAAACAGUACGUGAAAUUGCUGAAAGGGAAACGCUUGAAGUCAGUCGCGUUGUCCGGGAAUCAACCUUGCUUUUGCUGGGCGUACUUUCCGGUURACGGGUCAGCAUCAAUUUUGACCGUUGGAUAAAGUUCAGAGGAAUGUGGCAUCUUCGGAUGUGUUAUAGCCUUUGUUCGCAUACAACGGUUGGGAUUGAGGAACUCAGCACGCCGCAAGGCCGGGUAUUUAUACUACGUUCGUGCUUAGGAUGCUGGCAUAAUGGCUUUAAUCGACCCGUCUUGAAACACGGACCAAGGAGUCUAACAUGCCUGCGAGUGUUUGGGUGGAAAACCCGAGCGCGUAAUGAAAGUGAAAGUUGAGAUCCCUGUCGUGGGGAGCAUCGACGCCCGGACCAGACCUUUUGUGACGGAUCCGCGGUAGAGCAUGUAUGUUGGGACCCGAAAGAUGGUGAACUAUGCCUGAAUAGGGUGAAGCCAGAGGAAACUCUGGUGGAGGCUCGUAGCGAUUCUGACGUGCAAAUCGAUCGUCAAAUUUGGGUAUAGGGGCGAAAGACUAAUCGAACCAUCUAGUAGCUGGUUCCUG